GUGAGUUAGGCCUAAGACCUAAUUCAACAAAAAUGAUUAGAUUUGAUUUAUUUUUAACUUGUGAUCAAAUCUAUAUAUAGUGAGAGAAUGCUAGUUAUAAAAUUUUCAAAUUUAAUCAUGUAAAUAUUACUUCUGUUCCUUAAUUGCAUUAUCUGUUUCUCUCUAUAAUCAUGUCCUCCACUUUGGAGAACAACAAAUGUUUUUUCCGUGAUAACAAUCAAAAGUUUCUAACUCUCAUCUCUCAGCUCGUCGUCCUUCGUCUCUUAAGUUCAGGCCGCUGGCAAUACGCUUCUCAUUGGCCCGAGUUGUGCCUCCAAGGUGGUUAACUGACCAAUUUUUGCUACAUCACUGGUCACAACUCACAAGAGUCUUAUCUAAUUGAAGUAGGUAAAGAAACUUAAUUUUAUGAAUGUCCAUAUUCUUUUCGUGUUGCAAAAUAAGUAGUUGAGGUUCAGAUGAUCCAACUCAUGAAUAUGUUACAUUUUAUACUGCCACUUUCAUUUUUCUUGGUACAUACUCUGCUCUUCUUUUUCUCUGUUUCGGUCUUUUAACUCAGUAGCAAAUUAUAAAAUGGCAUCACUAGUGUUGCUGCUGGAAGCACUUAUUAGAUCUCGCGAGGACAUCUAUCUGCAAGGACCAGACGAUGGGCUGCUUCUCGAUGCUGAAGAAACUAGCGAUAAUAAUGGUAACACCACUCGAAACAAUUACUAUUAUUACUGUGGCUGUAUAGUUGAAGCUGAGGAUGUUCCUAGCUGGAACAUUAUAUCUUAGUGUUGUAUUUGUGCCCAUACAAAGAAAUCCUAGAAACAGGUGUAUCUUUUACAAUGUAACGCGAUACGUAUGCUUGUAAUAAAUUUGUUAUUUGUCACAA
Molecule: long non-coding RNA, 871 nt
Organism: Solanum lycopersicum (tomato)
Lineage: Eukaryota; Viridiplantae; Streptophyta; Magnoliopsida; Solanales; Solanaceae
Source: RefSeq, a predicted model, not a curated record